This 321-nucleotide ribosomal RNA is filed under the name Vibrio sp. KR09-93. RNAcentral describes it as "bacterial SSU rRNA". It matches the Rfam family "Bacterial small subunit ribosomal RNA", at positions 98 to 422 of the family's 1533-position model. The record is from RNAcentral. Lineage: Bacteria; Pseudomonadati; Pseudomonadota; Gammaproteobacteria; Vibrionales; Vibrionaceae.
GCGGACGGGUGAGUAAUGCCUAGGAAAUUGCCUUGAUGUGGGGGAUAACCAUUGGAAACGAUGGCUAAUACCGCAUAAUGCCUACGGGCCAAAGAGGGGGACCUUCGGGCCUCUCGCGUCAAGAUAUGCCUAGGUGGGAUUAGCUAGUUGGUGAGGUAAUGGCUCACCAAGGCGACGAUCCCUAGCUGGUCUGAGAGGAUGAUCAGCCACACUGGAACUGAGACACGGUCCAGACUCCUACGGGAGGCAGCAGUGGGGAAUAUUGCNCAAUGGGCGCAAGCCUGAUGCAGCCAUGCCGCGUGUAUGAAGAAGGCCUUCGGG